GAUGAACGCUGGCGGCGUGCCUAAUACAUGCAAGUCGAGCGAACAGACGAGGACCUUGCUCCUCUGACGUUAGCGGCGGACGGGUGAGUAACACGUGGAUAACCUACCUAUAAGACUGGGAUAACUUCGGGAAACCGGAGCUAAUACCGGAUAAUAUAUUGAACCGCAUGGUUCAAUAGUGAAAGACGGUUUUGCUGUCACUUAUAGAUUGAUCCGCGCCGCAUUAGCUAGUUGGUAAGGUAACGGCUUACCAAGGCAACGAUGCGUAGCCGACCUGAGAGGGUGAUCGGCCACACUGGAACUGAGACACGGUCCAGACUCCUACGGGAGGCAGCAGUAGGGAAUCUUCCGCAAUGGGCGAAAGCCUGACGGAGCAACGCCGCGUGAGUGAUGAAGGUCUUCGGAUCGUAAAGCUCUGUUAUUAGGAAAGAACAAAUGUGUAAGUAACUGUGCACGUCUUGACGGUACCGGAUCAAAAAGCCACGGCUAACUACGUG
RNAcentral lists this ribosomal RNA (497 nucleotides) under uncultured bacterium. Its description in RNAcentral is "partial 16S ribosomal RNA". It matches the Rfam family "Bacterial small subunit ribosomal RNA", at positions 28 to 507 of the family's 1533-position model. The record is from RNAcentral.